CGAAAGCCUGACGCAGCGACGCCGCGUGGGGGAGUGAAGGUCUUCGGAUUGUAAACCCCUUUCGGGAGGGAAGAUGGGAUGGGGUAACCCAUUCGGACGGUACCUCCAGAAGCAGCCACGGCUAACUUCGUGCCAGCAGCCGCGGUAAUACGAAGGUGGCAAGCGUUGUUCGGAUUUACUGGGCGUACAGGGAGCGUAGGCGGUUGGGUAAGCCCUCCGUGAAAUCUCCAGGCUUAACCUGGAAAGUGCAGAGGGGACUGCUCAGCUAGAGGAUGGGAGAGGAGCGCGGAAUUCCCGGUGUAGCGGUGAAAUGCGUAGAGAUCGGGAGGAAGGCCGGUGGCGAAGGCGGCGCUCUGGAACAUUUCUGACGCUGAGGCUCGAAAGCGUGGGGAGCAAACAGGAUUAGAUACCCUGGUAGUCCACGCCUUAAACGAUGGAUACUAAGUGUCGGCGGGUUACCGCCGGUGCCGCAGCUAACGCAGUAAGUAUCCCGCCUGGGAAGUACGGCCGCAAGGUUG
RNAcentral lists this ribosomal RNA (518 nucleotides) under uncultured Nitrospira sp. RNAcentral's name for it is "bacterial SSU rRNA". It matches the Rfam family "Bacterial small subunit ribosomal RNA", at positions 376 to 896 of the family's 1533-position model. Lineage: Bacteria; Pseudomonadati; Nitrospirota; Nitrospiria; Nitrospirales; Nitrospiraceae. The record is from RNAcentral.